GGAAGUUUUAUGUAAUAACCUUGUAAUUCUCUUAUGGGGAUUUCUAUAAAUGAAAUUUCCUGAUUUAAAUUGUGGGUGAUUAUCUGUGAUCUAUGUUGUGUCCUGAAGAUGUUUGUGUAUUAUUUUUCUGGUUGAAAAGAUUUCCUCGUAUUGAAGAGGGGUCGGAAAUUAUUGUUAUGGUGUUUUUGCUAGUUUUGAGGUAUCCUCAAAAUUGCUUUCCUGUCUAACGGUCUUAUCUGAAAAUUAAAUUUUUAAUAGCUUUUUGUUUCUUUGUGUAGCAG
RNAcentral lists this unclassified non-coding RNA (281 nucleotides) under Hevea brasiliensis (rubber tree). The record is from RNAcentral. Lineage: Eukaryota; Viridiplantae; Streptophyta; Magnoliopsida; Malpighiales; Euphorbiaceae.